RNAcentral lists this ribosomal RNA (301 nucleotides) under uncultured bacterium. Its description in RNAcentral is "partial 16S ribosomal RNA". It matches the Rfam family "Bacterial small subunit ribosomal RNA", at positions 509 to 807 of the family's 1533-position model. The record is from RNAcentral.
CAGUCGCCGCGGGAAUACGAAGGGUGCAAGCGUUAAUCGGAAUUACUGGGCGUAAAGCGUGCGUAGGCGGUGAGUUAAGUCUGCUGUGAAAUCCCCGGGCUCAACCUGGGAAUGGCAGUGGAUACUGGCUCGCUAGAGUGUGUCAGAGGAUGGUGGAAUUCCCGGUGUAGCGGUGAGAUGCGUAGAGAUCGGGAGGAACAUCAGUGGCGAAGGCGGCCAUCUGGGACAACACUGACGCUGAGGCACGAAAGCGUGGGGAGCAAACAGGAUUAGAUACCCGAGUAGUCCCUGUCUCUUAUAC